UACGUAGGGUGCGAGCGUUAAUCGGAAUUACUGGGCGUAAAGCGUGCGCAGGCGGUUCGUGAUGUCUGAUGUGAAAGCCCCGGGCUCAACCUGGGAAUUGCAUUGGAAACUAGCGGGCUGGAGCGUGGCAGAGGGGGGUGGAAUUCCACGUGUAGCAGUGAAAUGCGUAGAGAUGUGGAGGAACACCGAUGGCGAAGGCAGCCCCCUGGGCUAACACUGACGCUCAUGCACGAAAGCGUGGGGAGCAAACAGG
This 253-nucleotide ribosomal RNA is filed under the name uncultured bacterium. RNAcentral's name for it is "partial 16S ribosomal RNA". It matches the Rfam family "Bacterial small subunit ribosomal RNA", at positions 524 to 776 of the family's 1533-position model. The record is from RNAcentral.